RNAcentral lists this ribosomal RNA (253 nucleotides) under uncultured bacterium. Its description in RNAcentral is "partial 16S ribosomal RNA". It matches the Rfam family "Bacterial small subunit ribosomal RNA", at positions 524 to 776 of the family's 1533-position model. The record is from RNAcentral.
GACGUAGGGCGCGAGCGUUGUCCGGAUUUAUUGGGCGUAAAGAGCUCGUAGGCGGCUUGUCGCGUCGAAUGUGAAAUCUCAGAGCUCAACUCUGACAUUGCAUUCGAUACGGGCAGGCUAGAGUUCGGUAGGGGAGACUGGAAUUCCUGGUGUAGCGGUGAAAUGCGCAGAUAUCAGGAGGAACACCGAUGGCGAAGGCAGGUCUCUGGGCCGAUACUGACGCUGAGGAGCGAAAGCGUGGGGAGCGAACAGG